UGUGACCAGAAUCUGAACAGGUGCUGUGAGUUGGUGGAGCUCACCUCCAAGAUACAGGGACAACUCUUCACCAUCCUCAACCUCACUGCUAGAGAGGGUGGUCACUAUGCGGGAGUGGACGUGCUCAAAUCACGUCUGCUGCCAUGGCUGGGGACCUGCUUCUCCAUGGCAACCUCCUCUGUCACCAAUGACACAAGCCUCAACCUCAUUCAGGAGUCUGUGGAGAAGGAAAGGAAGAUCAGGGAGCUGUCUGCCUCCCAUGAGAACGACAUGCAGAAGAUGGAGACUCAGCUGUGCUCCACUCGCCUGCAGCUGGAGUCUAUCAAACAGGAGUAAGUCUGCACUAAACAAAACAAUAUUUGUUA
Molecule: long non-coding RNA, 365 nt
Organism: Coregonus clupeaformis (lake whitefish)
Lineage: Eukaryota; Metazoa; Chordata; Actinopteri; Salmoniformes; Salmonidae
Exons: 3
Source: RefSeq, a predicted model, not a curated record